Molecule: transfer RNA, 71 nt
Filed under: Hyphessobrycon elachys
Lineage: Eukaryota; Metazoa; Chordata; Actinopteri; Characiformes; Acestrorhamphidae
Description: tRNA-Thr
Rfam family: tRNA
About the family: Transfer RNA (tRNA) molecules are approximately 80 nucleotides in length. Their secondary structure includes four short double-helical elements and three loops (D, anti-codon, and T loops).
Source: RNAcentral
GCUUUAGUAGCUUAAAUCAAAGCAUCGGUUUUGUAAUCCGAAGAUCGGGGGUUAAAUUCCCCCCUACCGCC